UCAUGAGAAACGGCUACCACAUCUAAGGAAGGCAGCAGGCGCGUAAAUUACCCAAUCCUGACUCAGGGAGGUAGUGACAAGAAAUAGCAAACCGGGAACCUCAUGGUUUCACGGUAUUGCAAUGAGAACAAUUUAAAACCCUUAGCGAGAAUCAAGUGGAGGACAAGUCUGGUGCCAGCACCCGCGGUAAUUCCAGCUCCACUAGCGUAUAUUAAAGUUGUUGCAGUUAAAAGCUCGUAGUUGAACCUCUGUCUGGGGCUAGUUUUGGCUUUGGUCAGGCUAGUUCUAGGCAUCCGCCUACAAGACUUAGAGGGCAUUCAGUUGUUCACUAGGAGGAGUAGGCAUUUUACUUUGAAAAAAUUAGAGUGUUUAAGGCAGGCAAUCGCCCGCAUAUAUUAGCAUGGAAUAAUAGAAUAGGACACUUUUCCAUUUCGUUGGUUAUUGGAAUCGUGUAAUGAUUAAUAGGGACAGUUGUGGGCAUUUGUAUUUAAUUGUCAGAGGUGAAAUUCUUGGAUUUAUUAAAGACAAACUAACGCGAAAGCAUUUGCCAAGGAUGUUUUCAUUAAUCAAGAACGAAAGUUAGGGGAUCAAAGACGAUCAGAUACCGUCCUAGUCUUAACUAUAAACUAUUCCGACUCAAUGUUUGACUGGCUUAUAUAACCAGUUGAGCGUUGUAUGAGAAAUCAAAGUCUUUAGGUUCUGGGGGGAGUAUGGUUGCAAAGCUGAAACUUAAAGGAAUUGACGGAAGAGCACAACCAGGAGUGGAUUCUGCGGCUUAAUUUGACUCAACACGGGGAAACUUACCAGGUUAAAACAAUAGUGGGAUUGACAGUUUGAGAGCGCUUUCUAGAUUGGUUGGGUGGUGGUGCAUGGCCGUUCUUAGUUGGUGGAGUGAUUUGUCUGCUUAAUUGCGUUAACGAACGAGACCUUAACCUGCUUACUAGACUGGCGAUCAUCAAUCGUUAGCUCUUCUUAGAGGGACUUUGGUUGUUUUAACUCCAAGGAAGUUUGAGGCAAUAACAGGUCUGUGAUGCCCUUAGAUAUCCUGGGCCGCACGCGUCAUACAAUGACUAGUUCAGAAAGUUUUCUCCUGACCCGAAAGGGGAUGGGUAAUCUUGAUAAUACUAGUCGUGUUAGGGAUCGAUCUUUGCAAUUAUAGAUCUUGAACGAGGAAUUCCUAGUAAGUGCGGUUCAUCAGACCGUACUGAUUACGUCCCUGCUCUUUGUACACACCGCCCGUCGCUUCUACCGAGUGGGUGGUCCGGUGAGAUAAUUGAACUUCGCAGGUAACUGAGAGGAAAGAUUAUCAAACCUAUCCACCUCGAGGAAGAAGAAGUCGUAACAAGGUU
Molecule: ribosomal RNA, 1349 nt
Filed under: metagenome
Description: SSU rRNA
Rfam family: Eukaryotic small subunit ribosomal RNA
Source: RNAcentral